This 725-nucleotide long non-coding RNA is filed under the name Monodelphis domestica (gray short-tailed opossum). Its description in RNAcentral is "lncRNA (ENSMODG00000031327.1)". Lineage: Eukaryota; Metazoa; Chordata; Mammalia; Didelphimorphia; Didelphidae. The record is from RNAcentral.
CAGGAAUAUGGCGCCUUUGGCCAUUGCUCAUUGUAGAAACUGCAGACCCAAUUGCAUCCCACUUGAUUCUUUUUUUCACCAUACAUACCACUGGAUCAAGAAAUUGUGAAGUAGUCAUGGGCUCCCACACAAACCAAUUUCAUUGAUUAGAUAGCCAAAAUAAUACAACCAAAGAAAGCAAAGGAGCAGUGAGAGGUGCUUUGUUUUUACUUAAGUAUUUAGCCCUUUAGCUAGGUACAUGGCCCUGGUUUAAGUGAUACUGGAUUUGAGAUUUAAAAAAAAUUGUAGCUGGAGUCUCUUGAUACAGAGUCAGAGAGAGACAACCAUCAAACACAUACACCGGCUUUGGGUCUAUUAUCCCAAUUCGCUCUAAUACCUAGAGUCAAAUCCCUAGAGUUCAGGUAUUACAUCCCCUCAGGUUUCAGAGUUUAGACUGUGAGUGUGACAGGAUGUUUAGCCAGUGCUACAGUUCUUGUAAGAGCAGGAUGCAAAGGGGAAAAUGGAAUAUUGGACGUGAUUGACGGCCAAUGACCGUUGGUAGCAGAGGAUCAUGGGAGAGAAGAAGGGACCUGGAAGAGCCCCGAGAAGAACUCAGGGCUUCUGAGCUGGCGUCCGAAGAUGAUCACGAACUCUUUGAAGGCAGGGACUAUCGUUUGCCCUGCUUUGUGAAACCAGCUCUUGGCAAGGUGCCCACCCCAGGAUCUUUGAAUCCAGCCUGUCCUUGA